Molecule: ribosomal RNA, 639 nt
Filed under: Escherichia coli
Lineage: Bacteria; Pseudomonadati; Pseudomonadota; Gammaproteobacteria; Enterobacterales; Enterobacteriaceae
Description: partial 23S ribosomal RNA
Rfam family: Bacterial large subunit ribosomal RNA
Source: RNAcentral
UGAAACCGUGUACGUACAAGCAGUGGGAGCCUCUUUUAUGGGGUGACUGCGUACCUUUUGUAUAAUGGGUCAGCGACUUAUAUUCUGUAGCAAGGUUAACCGAAUAGGGGAGCCGAAGGGAAACCGAGUCUUAACUGGGCGUUAAGUUGCAGGGUAUAGACCCGAAACCCGGUGAUCUAGCCAUGGGCAGGUUGAAGGUUGGGUAACACUAACUGGAGGACCGAACCGACUAAUGUUGAAAAAUUAGCGGAUGACUUGUGGCUGGGGGUGAAAGGCCAAUCAAACCGGGAGAUAGCUGGUUCUCCCCGAAAGCUAUUUAGGUAGCGCCUCGUGAAUUCAUCUCCGGGGGUAGAGCACUGUUUCGGCAAGGGGGUCAUCCCGACUUACCAACCCGAUGCAAACUGCGAAUACCGGAGAAUGUUAUCACGGGAGACACACGGCGGGUGCUAACGUCCGUCGUGAAGAGGGAAACAACCCAGACCGCCAGCUAAGGUCCCAAAGUCAUGGUUAAGUGGGAAACGAUGUGGGAAGGCCCAGACAGCCAGGAUGUUGGCUUAGAAGCAGCCAUCAUUUAAAGAAAGCGUAAUAGCUCACUGGUCGAGUCGGCCUGCGCGGAAGAUGUAACGGGGCUAAACCAUG